CCAGUGUGUGUCACAGUUAGUUUCAGCAGGAUUCUGCAGGAUUUAGAUUUAGAGAAGGUCUCCUCUCAUGAUGGAUAUUUCUUUUUUAUCUUUUUUAUUAUAUUUCUUUUAGUUUUAUAUUCUGAGCAGUCUGGAGCUCCAGCUGAAGGAUUUAGAUUUAGAGAACGUCUCCUCUCAUGGUGGAUAUCUGCUUUAUAUUCUGAGCAGUCUGGAGCUCCAGCUGAAGAGAAACGACUGAGAGGACUUAAAGCUGGGACAGACUGAGCACGCUCAGUGGCUGCUUCACCUGGACCACCUCACACAGCUGACAGACACACAGGAUCACAUGGUGCAGAGACCUGGACUACGAAGCAAGAUUUGGCGUUACCGAGGUAACUUCAGGUUCAACCAGGGUGUUCUGUACCA
Long non-coding RNA from Perca fluviatilis (European perch), 405 nucleotides. RefSeq lists it as uncharacterized. The record is from RefSeq and is a predicted model, not a curated record. The transcript has 4 exons. Lineage: Eukaryota; Metazoa; Chordata; Actinopteri; Perciformes; Percidae.